RNAcentral lists this unclassified non-coding RNA (193 nucleotides) under uncultured fungus. RNAcentral describes it as "sequence contains ITS1". Lineage: Eukaryota; Fungi. The record is from RNAcentral.
CUAGCCGAUCAAUAUUUGUCGGUCUCGAGGCAUGGAAAUUUGAAAAGCUUGGGUACGCCCACUUUUCAAAGAGUACAUUCCUUUCUACCCUUGUUCUUUUGCGCACUUAUGUUUCCUCAGCAGGUUAGCCUGCCGAUUGGACAACUAAAACCCUUUUAUUUCUCAAUCAGCGUCUGAUAAUAAUAAAUAUUUA